Molecule: long non-coding RNA, 899 nt
Organism: Oncorhynchus keta (chum salmon)
Lineage: Eukaryota; Metazoa; Chordata; Actinopteri; Salmoniformes; Salmonidae
Exons: 3
Source: RefSeq, a predicted model, not a curated record
UGGUAACAGGCUAGGUUUCUAUCCAACUGGUAACAGGCUAGGUUUCUAUCCAUCUGGUAACAGGCUAGGUUUCUAUCCAACUGUUAACAGGCUAGGGUUCUAUCCAACCGGUAACAGGCUAGGGUUCUAUCCAACCGGUAACAGGCUAGGGUUCUAUCCAACCGGUAACAGGCUAUGUUUCUAUCCAACCGGUAACAGGCUAUGUUUCUAUCCAACCGGUAACAGGCUAUGUUUCUAUCCAACUGGUAACAGGCUAGGUUUCUAUCCAACUGGUAACAGGCUAGGUUUCUAUCCAACUGGUAACAGGCUAGGUUUCUAUCCAACUGGUAACAGGCUAGGUUUCUAUCCAACUGGUAACAGGCUAGGUUUCUAUCCAACUGGUAACAGGCUAGGUUUCUAUCCAACUGGUAACAGGCUAGGUUUCUAUCCAACUGGUAACAGGCUAGGUUUCUAUCCAACUGGUAACAGGCUAGGUUUCUAUCCAACUGGUAACAGGCUAGGUUUCUAUCCAACUGGUAACAGGCUAGGUUUCUAUCCAACUGGUAACAGGCUAGGUUUCUAUCCAACUGGUAACAGGCUAGGUUUCUAUCCAACUGGUAACAGGCUAGGUUUCUAUCCAACUGGUAACAGGCUAGGUUUCUAUCCAACUGGUAACAGGCUAGGGUUCUAUCCAACUGGUAACAGGCUAGGUUUCUAUCCAACUGGUAACAGACUAGGGUUCUAUCCAACUGGUAACAGGCUAGGGUUCUAUCCAACUGGUAACAGGCUAGGGUUCUAUCCAACUGGUAACAGGCUAGGGUUCUAUCCAACUGGUAACAGGCUAGGUUUCUAUCCAACUGGUAACAAGCUAGGUUUCUAUCCAACUGGUAACAGGCUAGGUUUCUAUCCAACUGGUAACA